RNAcentral lists this ribosomal RNA (117 nucleotides) under Sinocyclocheilus grahami. Lineage: Eukaryota; Metazoa; Chordata; Actinopteri; Cypriniformes; Cyprinidae. The record is from RNAcentral.
UACCACAGCCAUAUCACCCUGGAGCCCAAGACUGGUUGCCCACUGAAGCUAAGUAGGGUUGAGCCUGGUCAGUACCUGGAUGGGAGACCUCCUGGGAAAACUAGGUUGCUUUUGGAA